This 72-nucleotide transfer RNA is filed under the name Camelus bactrianus (Bactrian camel). It matches the Rfam family "tRNA". Rfam says of the family: Transfer RNA (tRNA) molecules are approximately 80 nucleotides in length. Their secondary structure includes four short double-helical elements and three loops (D, anti-codon, and T loops). The record is from Rfam by way of RNAcentral. Lineage: Eukaryota; Metazoa; Chordata; Mammalia; Artiodactyla; Camelidae. RNAcentral also lists the same sequence under 2 other names.
GAGGGUAUAGCUCAGUGGUAGAGCACACUCCCAGCAUGCACAAGGUUCUGGGUUCAAUCCCCAGUACUUCCA